Molecule: long non-coding RNA, 408 nt
Filed under: Pan troglodytes (chimpanzee)
Lineage: Eukaryota; Metazoa; Chordata; Mammalia; Primates; Hominidae
Description: lincRNA
Source: RNAcentral
GGGUCUGCAGUCACACAGCCAACUUGCGCUUGUGGCAGUGGCAAGGUUGGUGAGUAUCUGAGUCUUCAGGCCACGGCAUUUUCCCCUUGAGUGGAGCCUGCCUCAGCCUGUUCCUUUAACAUCAGCUUCUGAAACUAGCUCUGCAGAAGUUCUGAGGGUACCCCUCACUCAAGCUCCAGGCGUCAGGAAAAGAACAUUCCACGAAGUCCAUCUGGAAGACGGUCCUUUCCCUGCUGCCCCCAGCUUCUAGAACAUUCCCUGGAACACAGCAAGUGUUCAGUUAUUGUUCAUGGAGUGACAGAUGUCUCAGCCAAGAAGGUACAAUCACAGGGAAGAAUGACUUCAAUUGGUUUUGACUUCAACCUGCUUCCAGCCUGGUUCCCUUCUCCCACCUCCCUACAGCCCACA